AAAUAAAGGCUGGGGUGUGUCCUUCCAGGAGUAUAUACAGUGUAAAGGUCCAGCCUUUCUUCAAAGGCUCUCAGAAGAUUGAAGUUCAUGCACCUCUAGCAGCACAAUAUUCCUGCUGAGUAUAUACAGUGUAAAGGUCCAGCCUUUCUUCAGAGGUUCUCAGAAGAUUGAAGUUCAUGCACCUCUAGCAGCACAAUAUUCCUGCUGUGUCGCAGUUGGUUAUUUGGUCUUUCUGGUUGGACUGAAGGGUGAUUGCUUCCUAUCUGGGGUUCAUACCAGGACAAAUGAAGCAUUGAAAGUCAACAGUGACCCUCAGAAGAACCGAUUGUCUUUGACCAUCAACCCUUGAUCUCAUAGGAAACAACUGACCUCGUCAUUGUUGCAUCAUUGUACAACUUUUAACCUGUAUCAUGAGUUUCCUGUGGUCAGGUCUUACAAAAAUUAAAUCAACCAGUUUUGGAAAAAAUAUUGCUGAAAAGCAUCAAAUGUUGGCGAGACAGAUGUUGCUGAGACAGCAUCACAUGUUGCCGAGAGAGAUGUUGCCAAGACAACAUCAAAUGUUGCCAAGACAGAUGUUGCUGAGAAAGCAUCAAAUGUUGCUGAAACAGAUGUUGCUGAUCCAUCAGAGCCAACAGAGACCAAACGACUCGCUGAAGCUGUUAGACAAAAAAGUAUAAAACUGAAACUAUAAACAGAAAGUCCUGAAGUUUAUGCAGUUCCACUGAAAGAAGAACAGAUCUCUAUAAAUGGAUGCAAAUGUUUUAAUUUAGGGAAAAAAUGCAUGAAACCCAACCGCACCAUCAUGGUUCUUGGAGCCACUGGUGCAGGGAAGUCAACUCUCAUCAAUGGGAUGAUCAGUUACAUUCUGGGUGUUAAAUGGGAAGACUCAUAUCGGUUUGUGUUAGUGAAUGAAGAUCAGUCAAUGUCACAAGCUCACAGCCAGACUCCAGAAGUCUUCCACCAGGAGGUUAGACUACUCACUGACCAUUGUGGAUACUCAUACAAUCAUUUAGCAAACACCUUUUCCAAAGCUGACCCAACUGGAAGGUGUUUGCGUUUGCCCCAUUGUAAUAUGUCCCCUCUUGGAUUUUAAUUCUGGUCUCCUGCAUGGUAAACAGACGCCAUGCCAACUGAGCUAACCAGCCACUAUAAAUGUUUACAUUACAGUACAAUCCUUUAGCAGAUGCUUAUCUCCAAAGCAACUUACCUAAGGGUCUUGCCUAAAGGCCCAACUGGAGGGUGUUAAUGUUUGCCCCAUUGUAAUAUGUCCCCUGUCAGAUUCAAACUCUGGUCUGCCACAUGUGAGACGGAAACUGUGCCGACUGUGCCAACCAGCCACCAUGCCUGGAUUUGGAGACAUCAAAGGCAUAAACAGAGACAGGGAACACAGAGCAGAUAUGUAAUCUCUUCACUGCUCAGCCUGGUGUCGCUGAAAUUGUUGCUGUGUGUUUUGUAGCUCCGGCUUCUUUAGCACGACUCACACCGACACAGAAAUACAUCUUUGAUUCAGUUUUCUCAAUCUUUGGGAAAGAUGUGGCAGAAAACAUCAGGAUUCUGGUGACAUUUGCACCAUUUGCAGACGGGCAGACCACCAGUUCUACAGGCGAUCAGUGUAUCAGGAGUCCCAUGUCCUAAAGAUAAAGCUGGGAGUCCAGUUCACUUUAAAUUCAACAAUCUGUUUGCAGACAAUAAAUCACCUGCAGCAGGCAGCGGGGGUGGGGACGACUCAGAUGAAAACUAACAUGUUUUGGAAGAUGGGGACAAAAAGCAUGAAACGGUUUUGCUGUUAUAAAUCAGAUGGAGACCAAAAGCUUGACACUAACACAGGAGGUUCUCAGAGAAAGAAAACAGUUGGAGGUUUAUGUUGAAGGUUUGCAGAAGCAGGUCAGACUUGGUUUAUCCAAGAUGGAAGAGAUAAAACAGACAGAAAAAAUACUGAAAGAUCAUGAAGCAGAGAUCAGCAGAAAUGAGAAGUUUGAGUUUGAAGUCACUGUGAUGAAACCCUUUCAAGUGGAUAUCUCUGGUACAGGACAGUUCAUCACCAACUGUCAGACAUGUUAUUACACCUGUCACUACCCUUGUAGCAUAUAAAGAAGGAUGUGCUGCAAUGACAGAUGGAUACUGUCGAGUGUGUCCAGGUAAAUGUGUCUGGAAUGUCCAUUUUAAUCAGAAGUACAGAUGGGAUUAUGAUGAGGUUAUUAUAAUGGGGGGGAUUGAAGAAAAAGAUUAAAGAAAAGAGGGAGGGGAGUUGAAGCAAAAGUAAAACAACACCAAAGGGAAGAAGAUGAGUGUACAGGAUCUGAUAGAUACGGUGCAGGUUGAAUUUAAGGAUGUGCAGGAUGCGGUGAUGAGUUCCAUAAAAAAAUCCGCUGAAUGUCUUAACAGACAGCGUUGACGCCAGAUCCUCUCUAUACUUCAGAGUACAUCAAUCUGCUUAUUGAAGGAGAGAAAUCAGAGGCCAAACCAGGCUGGAAGAAACAAACUGAGUCCCUGAUGAAGAUGAGAGAGAAAGCAGAGUACAUGGCUAGAGUAGAGAGAGGAGAAGAUCUUUUACAUUAAGAUUCUGGUCUCUGUUGAUCCCAAAGGGAUGAUAAGAAAGACUUAAAGCUGAAUGUGUUUGCUUCCUCUUUAUUGAUGCCCGUGUCUGCUUUAAUCAUUCUUGGUUCAUCGGUUGUGUUUCCAGAUUAUCCACCAGCAGAAAUCUGCUGUUAGCUCAUUUAACCUCACUGAUCAAGCUUGGAGAAAUCUGGUCUCCUUCUUCUCUGGAGCCUGGAUGAAAAGUGUUAAACACGGCUCUUUAUGACGGGUUUUUGUUCAUCAUGUUUACUAUUUAGGGCUGGAACUAAAUAAGGGUGGAUAAUAUAAUUAAUUAGAGGUUUUGUGAUUAAUUAAUCAUAAUUAACGUUAAAGUCCCACCCCUAGUACUAAUAUGAAUAUUUUAUUUACCAGUGUAACAUAAGUUUGUAGUAUAAUGUAAACUGUUGACUGUUUAAUGUGUUUUAGAAAAUGUCCUACAGUGGCCAUUAAUUAGAUAUUUUCUUUUUUUAUUUGAAUACUGAAUUUUAUGAUAUGAGAAAUAAAAAGUAAUUUAAUGACGUUUUGAACUUAAAUCAAACCUGACUUGUUCUACAUGCUGUUUUAUUUUUUUCUUGUAAUCAUGUGACAAACGUUAUCAACCUGUGGAUUAAUUAAAUGGCUUCAUCUGAAUGUGUAAUAAAAUAAGUGGUUGUAAAUAAAUAAUGUUUA
Melanotaenia boesemani (Boeseman's rainbowfish) is the source of this 3246-nucleotide long non-coding RNA. RefSeq lists it as uncharacterized. NCBI's taxonomy places the organism in Eukaryota, Metazoa, Chordata, Actinopteri, Atheriniformes, Melanotaeniidae. The record is from RefSeq and is a predicted model, not a curated record. The transcript has 4 exons.